GAAGGGAGAAGCCCUCGUUUCCAGAUUGGAAAGAAGUAUUGUCAUUUAAAUCAAACUUUUAUGGAUGAUAUGGAGAACCAGAUCCUUUUUGGGAAUGCAUUCCCUGGGGGUAGGGGGAGAAUCAGGGGAUGUCCCAGAUGGGAGGGCAAGCAAACUCAAUCCAUUCCGCUCCAUUGUCAUCCCUAUUUAUACAGCUGAAAGUGGUAAAAGCCAGUACCAAAGUCCACAGACGGGAGAGGUUCAACAUACUAACAAGUAUACUUCGACCCAAAAAAAAAAAA
This is a long non-coding RNA of Malus domestica (apple), 281 nucleotides long. RefSeq lists it as uncharacterized. The record is from RefSeq and is a predicted model, not a curated record. NCBI's taxonomy places the organism in Eukaryota, Viridiplantae, Streptophyta, Magnoliopsida, Rosales, Rosaceae.